GACGAACGCUGGCGGCGUGCUUAACACAUGCAAGUCGAACGGAACUUCUUGGAUAGAGGCUUCGGCCAAUUGAAUUGAAGUUUAGUGGCGGACUGGUGAGUAACGCGUGAGGAACCUGCCUUUCAGAGGGGGACAACAGUUGGAAACGACUGCUAAUACCGCAUGACACAUUCGGGCGGCAUCGCUUGAAUGUCAAAGAUUUUAUCGCUGAAAGAUGGCCUCGCGUCUGAUUAGCUAGUUGGUAGGGUAACGGCCUACCAAGGCGACGAUCAGUAGCCGGACUGAGAGGUUGACCGGCCACAUUGGGACUGAGAUACGGCCCAGACUCCUACGGGAGGCAGCAGUGGGGAAUAUUGGGCAAUGGACGCAAGUCUGACCCAGCAACGCCGCGUGAAGGAAGAAGGCUUUCGGGUUGUAAACUUCUUUUAAGUGGGAAGAGUAGAAGACGGUACCACUUGAAUAAGCCACGGCUAACUACGUG
Molecule: ribosomal RNA, 481 nt
Filed under: uncultured bacterium
Lineage: Bacteria
Description: bacterial SSU rRNA
Rfam family: Bacterial small subunit ribosomal RNA
Source: RNAcentral